RNAcentral lists this ribosomal RNA (459 nucleotides) under uncultured bacterium. RNAcentral's name for it is "partial 16S ribosomal RNA". It matches the Rfam family "Bacterial small subunit ribosomal RNA", at positions 338 to 795 of the family's 1533-position model. The record is from RNAcentral.
CCUACGGGAGGCAGCAGUGAGGAAUAUUGGUCAAUGGGCGCAAGCCUGAACCAGCCAAGUCGCGUGCAGGAUGACGGUCCUACGGAUUGUAAACUUCUUUUAUCGGGGAGCAACGCACCUUACGCGUGGGGCUCUGCGUGUACCCUAUGAAUAAGCACCGGCUAAUUCCGUGCCAGCAGCCGCGGUAAUACGGAGGGUGCGGGCGUUAUCCGGAUUUAUUGGGUUUAAAGGGUGCGUAGGCGGCAGGUCAAGCCGGCGGUAAAAGUUCGGGGCUCAACCGCGUCGAGCCGUUGAAACUGGUGUGCUUGAGUGAGUGAGAAGUAGGCGAAAUGCGUCGUGUAGCGGUGAAAUGCAUAGAUAUGACGCAGAACCCCGAUUGCGAAGGCAGCAUACCGGAGCGGAACUGACGCUCAUGCACGAAAGUGUGGGUAUCGAACAGGAUUAGAUACCCGUGUAGUC